This 369-nucleotide unclassified non-coding RNA is filed under the name Hevea brasiliensis (rubber tree). Lineage: Eukaryota; Viridiplantae; Streptophyta; Magnoliopsida; Malpighiales; Euphorbiaceae. The record is from RNAcentral.
AAAAUGAGUAUCCAUUAAUAUGUAAAGAUGUGAAACCAUGACUGAAGGCAGAGCUCAAGACAUAAUGAGAAUUGAGCGUAAAAGAUUCUGACAUGGAAACUACAACUAAGAUGAUUCAAGAAUUUAGAUAAUUUAGGUAAGAAAUCAUGGAAGUAAAAUAGGAAAUAAAAUUCCAGCAAAAUCUUAACUUUGAUAUCAUAUGAAUUCACUGCAACAUUUUAAUUGAUGGGCUGAGCGUGAGGGGGAUAUAUGCAUCAAAGAGACACCUUACUCCUAUGUUCAUGAAGAAGUUUUUUGGAGGUAAAGUAUUGUUUUUAAAGUAAUAGCUUUGUUUGAGAGUAAGGUUAUUUAAGGAAUGUAAGGUUUUUU